This 521-nucleotide unclassified non-coding RNA is filed under the name Hevea brasiliensis (rubber tree). The record is from RNAcentral. Lineage: Eukaryota; Viridiplantae; Streptophyta; Magnoliopsida; Malpighiales; Euphorbiaceae.
GUUCCCCUUAAAGUAACUGAAACAGGAAAAAAGAGUUAACACAUAUACAGUAACCGCAGAUUUUUCAUCUUUAUUUAUGCACUCAACACACAUAUAGGUAGACCAUUCAUCAACACGAUAAUAUCACGAGUUUGAUCCUUACAGAACUAAGACCAAACUUGAUAGUUCAAAUAUUAACAAGCACGCAUAUAUUAUCCCUAACAAAUUAGCACCAAAAAAAAGAAAAAAAAAAUUCAACCAAAGCGACAUUCCUUAGGAGAUAUGAAGGCUCUUAUUCAGUCUUAUACGUAAAACAAACACCGGCAAGACUAUUACUGACCCAGAAUUCGCUUCUUGUAAAAUUCAACAAGCUCUUUAGGAUCUGUUUUUGUCUGCUUGUAAGCCCCAAGCUUGUUUAUCUCCUCAAUCCAAGCAGCAAGUUUAGGCCUGCCUGCAGUGAUAUCAUAUUUGAAUACCUCUGACAAGAAGAUUUGGAAUCUUUCAACAAAUGGUAUAUAGGCUAUAUCCACCAAACUGAAUUG